CAGGCACCCAGACCAUUUCAUUAAGCUGAAGGGGUCUGGGUGCCUAUAGUGGUCCUUUAACACAAAUAAAUAGUUCAUGUUAAACAAGUGAGUUACAUAUAGUUACUUUGAAACCCGAAAAUCAUUCUCUGUUGAAUUGAAACUGCCCCAGCUUGCCCAGACUGGGUAUAUAGUGCCCACAGCAUUUUGGAGGUAAUUGGCAUAAUAAUCCUGAGAGUGCAGUUUUAUGCUGCAACAUUGUACCGUUCAUACCCUGAACAAGGAUCUUAGAAACCGCAG
This is a non-coding RNA of Pelobates cultripes (western spadefoot toad), 279 nucleotides long. Lineage: Eukaryota; Metazoa; Chordata; Amphibia; Anura; Pelobatidae. The record is from the annotation of a GenBank genome assembly.